AGAUUUUCUAGGACAGAAGAAAAAAGAAUGCCAAAGAGUGGGCUUCUAUGACUUCUGCCUUGCCCUGGAGGUCCAAUACAGGACCAGCAAGUUAUUUCUGUGUGGACAGCCCAGUCCCAGAAGGUAAAACCAUUCUUAACUAUAGUAAGGACCAUCACACUCAGCUGACC
This is a long non-coding RNA of Pan troglodytes (chimpanzee), 170 nucleotides long. RefSeq annotates it as long intergenic non-protein coding RNA 2911. NCBI's taxonomy places the organism in Eukaryota, Metazoa, Chordata, Mammalia, Primates, Hominidae. The record is from RefSeq and is a predicted model, not a curated record. The transcript has 3 exons.